Molecule: ribosomal RNA, 120 nt
Filed under: Streptomyces tetanusemus
Lineage: Bacteria; Bacillati; Actinomycetota; Actinomycetes; Kitasatosporales; Streptomycetaceae
Description: partial 16S rRNA
Rfam family: Bacterial small subunit ribosomal RNA
Source: RNAcentral
UCUAAUACCGGAUAUGACCGUCUGCCGCAUGGUGGAUGGUGUAAAGCUCCGGCGGUGCAGGAUGAGCCCGCGGCCUAUCAGCUUGUUGGUGAGGUAGUGGCUCACCAAGGCGACGACGGG